This 527-nucleotide ribosomal RNA is filed under the name uncultured bacterium. Its description in RNAcentral is "bacterial SSU rRNA". It matches the Rfam family "Bacterial small subunit ribosomal RNA", at positions 28 to 526 of the family's 1533-position model. The record is from RNAcentral.
GACGAACGCUGGCGGCGUGCCUAAUACAUGCAAGUUGAACGCUAAAGCUUUAACUGGUGCUUGCACCGACCUAAGUUUUUAGAGUAGCGGACGGGUGAGUAACACGUGGGUAACCUGCCCAUCAGAGGGGGAUAACACUUGGAAACAGGUGCUAAUACCGCAUAAUUCCUUUUACCGCAUGGUAAAAGGCUGAAAGGCGCUUCUGGUGUCACUGAUGGAUGGACCCGCGGUGCAUUAGCUAGUCGGUGGGGUAACGGCCUACCGAGGCGAUGAUGCAUAGCCGACCUGAGAGGGUGAUCGGCCACAUUGGGACUGAGACACGGCCCAAACUCCUACGGGAGGCAGCAGUAGGGAAUCUUCGGCAAUGGACGAAAGUCUGACCGAGCAACGCCGCGUGAGUGAAGAAGGUUUUCGGAUCGUAAAGCACUGUUGUAUGGGAAGAACAGCUAGAAUAGGAAAUGAUUUUAGUUUGACGGUACCAUACCAGAAAGGGACGGCUAAAUACGUGCCAGCCGCCGCCGUAAAAC